Dasypus novemcinctus (nine-banded armadillo) is the source of this 2332-nucleotide long non-coding RNA. Lineage: Eukaryota; Metazoa; Chordata; Mammalia; Cingulata; Dasypodidae. The record is from Ensembl.
CCUGGCUUCAGGCCAGACCUCGUGAGUCUCUUCCAAAGCACAAGGAUGGUGCCCGCCCCCCCUGGCUUGGGGCCGAGAUGACAGGGCAGCCUGCGGGGGAAGGGGGAAGUGGGGCGAGCCAGCCCGGAGGACGGGAAGUGGGGGGUACAGGCGCGGAGAGCGAAAGCUGGGAUUUGCCGCAUCGUCAUCCAACACCAGCUGGCGCCCGGCGCUUGGGUGCAAGUGAUCCCCAAGGGGCCUUCAGGGGCAGGUGCUCUCCAGCCACAUUCGGGGGCGAGCAGGCCAGGCCGCGGGGCGCCCGGCUGGGUGUUUGGUGGCACAGCCCCCUGCGGCCCGUUUCACUCUGAUGUCACCCAAGUCCUUCCCCAACCACGAGACGAGGCCCCUCUGGGGCCCCACCCCGAGGUACUACGCACCGUUCCCUUCGAGACCGGGGACCGGAGACUUGGGGGUGGCCGGCCCUCGCUCGCGCUGCCCUUGGACCAGCGCCUCCCGUCCCCAUGGCCCUGGGUUUCCAGGAUCUGCCUCACCAGGGCCACUGACACCCGCUCCCCCAGAGCAGCCCCAGAGGUGGGGACCCCUUCCUGCCGGGCUUCUCCUGGAUGGAACCCGUUGCUCUCCCAGGAGGCGCCCCCAGAGCUGCGGGGUUGGAAGUCCUUUCCCUGCCACGCGCUUCCUCUCUUCCCCAUCUCUUACCCGGGCCACCGUCACCUCUCAUGUUAUCGUCAUCACUGUUUUAUAAAAUGAGAUAUGAUGUACGGACAGCAACGUGCACACAUUUUAAAAAGCUCGGUGGACUUCCGUUUGUUUUGAGUAUUUGCAUACGCCCGUGUGACCACCCAACCAGACCAGGACCCGGGACGCAUCCAGCCCCGAGAAGCCUCCCUCGUGCCCUCUCUCAGCCAAACCCCAUUCUGGAUUGUGUCCCCGUAGGCCAGUUACGUCUUGAUAGCUAGUCACUGAACUUGGCGUAAGUGGAAUCACACAGAGCGCUUUCCCAUCCGGCCUCUUGCUGCCCAGCACCACGUGUGAGGUUCGUCCGUGCUAGCCUCUGAGCUCACAGCUGGCUCCUUCUCGUGGUUGAGCAGUUUUCCUUCCACGGCUGGAGCACAUACGGCUGUUUCUCCAUUUCCUGGGGAGGAGGGUUUGGCUGCUUCCUGCUUUUGGCUAGGACCAUUCCCUGGUAAGUGUUUUGGGUCGACAUUCGCUUUCAUCUCGCUUGGUUAAACACAGGAUUGUAGGGUCACGGGGAAGGCGGGCGUUGGCGUUUACUGGGGUUCCAAGCGGUGCCCCUUCCACCUCUGGACUUCUGCAGCAGCCUCCCCUCUCCCCGCCGCCAAGAGAACUUUCUAGAUGCAAAUCUGGCCUUGCCACUCUCGCUUGAAAGGCUUUCAUGGCUGCCCCCGCCUUGAGGGGGGAAGUCCCUGCUCGUCUCCCCAGCUGUGCCUCUGGCUCUGUCCCCCGUUGAGCCUUACGUCCUUGCCACUUUAAAAGCACACAGUCUGGGAAACAGACUUGGCCCAGUGGAUAGGGCACCCGCCUACCACACGGUAGGUCCGCGGUUCAAACCCCGGGCCUCCUUGACCCGUGUGGAGCUGGCCAUGCGCAGUGCUGAUGCGCGCAAGGAGUGCCUUGCCACGCAAGGGUGACCCCCGCGUGGGGGAGCCCCACGCGCAAGGAGUGCGCCCGUGAGGAGAGCCGCCCAGUGUGAAAAGAAAGAGCAGCCUGCCCAGGAAUGGCGCCGCAUACAUGGAGAGCUGACACAGCAAGAUGAUGCAACAAAGAGAAACACAGAUUCCCGUGCCGCUGACAACAGAAGUGGACAAAGAAACAAGACCCAGCAAAUAGACACAGAGAACAGACAACUCGGGGGGAUGGGGGAGAAAUAAAUAAAUAAAUCUUAAAAAAAAAAAAAGCAAACAGUCCCCUGAACUUAUGUCAUUCCUGUCCCGAAGGAACUGUCUCUUCCGCCUGGAGCGCUCACCCCUCCCUCGCCCGCCCGGCAGGGGCCUCCUCGCUUCCUAAGAUCUCACCCGAGCAUUUCCCAAGCCCCGAGGCAGCCGCCUUCCUUAGCUCUCCUCUGAGCGGGUGGGUGUGUGCCGCCCGCGGAGAUGCCCGCAGUGCCUGAGGGGGGGCUGUGACUUCUCUGCCCGGCGGGUGGCCUGGUCAGGGUGGAGCGCGUCCCCCUGGGGCGGGGGGCCGAGCGUGGGUGGGCACCCCGGGGGGCCGGCCUGACCCCUGCCUGGAGAGGCAGGCCCUUGGGUCCCAAUUCUUCUGCCUCAGCACCAGUCUCUCUCAGCUGGGGCUGGCUCGUGCCAGGUCGUCACCUCCU